RNAcentral lists this ribosomal RNA (253 nucleotides) under uncultured bacterium. Its description in RNAcentral is "partial 16S ribosomal RNA". It matches the Rfam family "Bacterial small subunit ribosomal RNA", at positions 524 to 776 of the family's 1533-position model. The record is from RNAcentral.
UACGAAGGGUGCAAGCGUUAUUCGGAAUUACUGGGCGUAAAGCGUGCGUAGGUGGUGAGUUAAGUCUGUCGUGAAAGCCCCGGGCUCAACCUGGGAAUGGCGAUGGAUACUGGCUCGCUAGAGUGCGGUAGAGGAGAGUGGAAUUCCCGGUGUAGCAGUGAAAUGCGUAGAGAUCGGGAGGAACAUCAGUUGCGAAGGCGGCUCUCUGGACCAGCACUGACACUGAGGCACGAAAGCGUGGGGAGCAAACAGG